Molecule: small RNA, 4830 nt
Filed under: Pan troglodytes (chimpanzee)
Lineage: Eukaryota; Metazoa; Chordata; Mammalia; Primates; Hominidae
Description: retained intron
Source: RNAcentral
AUAGAUAUCAAGCCAUCCAGAAAAUCUUCCUUAGGAAUUUUAGGCUGGUUAAUACUGAAAGCAAACUUUCAAGGAAGGUUUAAAAUGGCCAAUUUGAAAUUUCUAGUGAAAAAAUUUGGUGUCUGAGCCAAAUUAAAAUGCCAAUCAUUAUAUUCUAACCAAACUUACAGACUUUAGUUACUAGCAAAUACCAGAUAUGAUUCUUACUGUAUAAAAGUUAUGAUUUUAGAAUAAAAUGGAGGAAUAACCACCAACAUAUUGUAGAUAGGUUGUGUCUGUCUCCGAAACUGCAAUGCUCUCAUACGCUAGAACAGAGCCUACCUACACUUUCUGCUCAAUUAAUAAGCAUCAUAUAAAUGAAUGAAUACAUUUUAAAAGAAAAACAAGGAGAAAGAACAGGAAGAAAGAACAGGAAAAGAAAACAGAAGGUGGGAAAGAGGAAGGAAGAGAGGGAGGAAGGGACAGGGCACUUGAGAGAAAGGCAAAGAAAAGAUUCCAUGAGGAUCCCAAAUCAGUCCCACACAUGAUCACACUGAAUUAUGAACUAAGAUAUUUACUGAAACGUUUGCCAUUAAUGCAUAUUUGACUUGCUUUUUCUGACCUAAUGAAUUUGCAAAACGAUGACAGUCAUGUAGCAAAUGUACAUGGACUAGUACUCACAAUUAAUUUUUUAUUUUCUAUACCAGCAGGAGACAAAGAUGAUAGAAGAAUGAAAUUCAUUUUUGACCCAGAAAUCCUAUUUUAGCUACUGCUUUAUCUGCUCUUAAUUUUCUAGGAGUGGACUUUGGGGCCAUCGUGCCGGAUCCUCCCUGAUUGUGGAGCGAUGGGGGGUUGCACACAGGCCGUUCUGCCCCAGCAGCUAACAAGAAAGACCCUUGCAUUCCUCCCUGCAUCUCUCCCUUUUGGGUCCUACUAAUGUCUGUUGAAUUUCUCUUUUUUCCAAAGCAAAAUCCUUCUCUGCAUUUUGUCUGCUUGUCUGUUUCCCAGAGCCGCAGGACUCUCUCCUUGUCUGGAGUUCCAGAGAGCCCCCACUUUCUCUUUCUAAACUGUGUUGUGUGUUUCCUGGUACAUUCUAGGUUCCCCAAAGAUAAACAUGACUAAGGAUUCGAAAGGAGGAAAGGCCAAGCAGAUUGUUAAUCUGAAAGUCAAUCCCCGGAUUUAGUUCUCAAAAAUGCUUUAUUUUUGGAGAAAAGCAAUAGAGUAAGACAGAAGGACUUAACGCUUGCAAGGAAGUGGCUUUCUGCCAUGUAGAGCCAGGCUGGCAACCCGCCCUCUGCCAUCAGGGAGUGAGCAUGAACCUGGAAACCUCUGGGACGCAAGAGCGAGGCUGGCUGUCCCCUCGUGUGCUGUGCUUAGACCUUCUUGCCACACAUCCCGUCCCUCACUUCACUGGAUAGCCCCCGAAUCAACCGUUCACACGAAAGCAGCUGCCUGGUUCUGAGUGGCCAUGCUCACUCCCAAGCAUAGGUUGAAUGAAAAGAAAACUGUGCAAGUAGCUUGUAUGGUGGGAAGCCCCCAGCAGAGGCUGAGGGUGCAGCCAGGUGCUCUGGAAGCCUUGAGGCCUCUGGUGUCAUCUUCCUCACCCUAAAUAAGAGAUGGGCUAGGUUGGUCAAGGUCCUCCCUGUCCUAAAACACUUUAAUGAAAUGGAAGAAAGGCUGCAGGCUGAUAGAGGAGGGACAGUCUGGUUUGGUUCCCUCAAGUCUUCAGGAGAGGGCUCAAGGACAGUCUCCCAUUUCUUGUUGGCAAAAUGUAAAGUGCAGUCUGGACCCUGUCCAUUGAGUAGAGACUCAGGAGGCCAACCAAGAUCCCUGAAAAGCUAACAGCGUGGUCAGCCUUCCCACAGACAGUGCACCUACCGUGGGAGGACACUUCGCCCCCCAUUGUUAACGUCCACCGCGCCCAGACUCCCACAGCGAGCUCCUUCCCUUCCUCCCCAUGUUUGCAGUGGAGUUCCCACUCGAGAAGACAGCACAGUAGCAAGUAGAGGCUGGUCCUGGGACACUCGCACCCAUGUGUGUCAGGAAGCCCCUGCGAUCACACGGCCCAUGAGGAAGCCAGAGGGGCUGCUGGGGCUGAUGAGGCCAGGGCAGGGCGGCCUGCUCUUCCAUAAAUGACAGCUGGCACCAAAGCCCAGAGCUGGCAGCCUCCACCUGAGGAGUGGCAUCUCCAUGAACGGCUUGUGUUCUCGCACAACCCCAUUGCGUAGAUGAGGAAACUGAAGCUCAGAGAGGUUCCUGCCCUUGCCCAAGGCCACACAGCCGGAUGAGCUAGAAAGGUGCUAGGAGACUCGGAGGUGGGGGAGCUGAGACGCUGUCCCGCUGCUGCCAGGAUGCGGCCGCCCCCCGUGCCAGCCAGGCCUGCCUCCUCCCUCUGUCCGGCUCAGCAGCCCCGGCCUCCUGUUGCUCCCAGUCCGAGCUAUGGCCAAGGGAGACUGAUUCCUGCUCACCCUGGGAGAGAGCUCAGGAUUUUGUCUCAAAACCUUAUAAAAGAUACGAGGCUCGACAUUUUACUAAGGCCGAGGACUCUUGAUCUCCCAGACAGAUCCUAGAACCACAGGGCACAUGUGACCAGAAUCCAAUCUGUGCAAAUCAAUCAGCAAAAGGAGCCCCCAGCAAAGGCGCAGGCCGGGGCCUCCGGGGACCGGCACCUACACACCGCACAGCCCCCCAGGGUCCGAGUCCUCCAAACACGUGUAGGCAGGAGCCUCCUUACCUUGAUUUGCUUGAUGUUUGCUAAUCUUCUCUUGAACACCCCACAGCGUGAAGGUAAGCAACUGUUCCCUAAACGACUUAGAUCCUUAAAAUAUGUGUGGUCGGGCCGCAUAUCUCAUGAGAGAGCCUCCGCCCAAACCAGAGCCCUCCUCUCUCUGCGGCCAACACCCUGGUAGACCUGGGGGAGCAGCCUCUCCCGCCCCCACCCCCUCAGCGCGGUGCUGGCCCGUGGCUCCUGAACCACUCACCAGUCCAGUCCGGGGCCUGGGCCCUUCCCCGGGGCCCUGGUGGCAGCUCCCAGUGGCUCAAGCAGCGUGCCCAGCACCGCGGGUGGAGGCUGAGCUCCGUGGUCUUCUCUUGCAGGGGGCCGAAGGCCAGAGACCAGGAUUUGGCUACGGAGGCAGAGCGUCCGACUAUAAAUCGGCUCACAAGGGAUUCAAGGGAGUCGAUGCCCAGGGCACGCUUUCCAAAAUUUUUAAGCUGGGAGGAAGAGAUAGUCGCUCUGGAUCACCCAUGGCUAGACGCUGAAAACCCACCUGGUUCCGGAAUCCUGUCCUCAGCUUCUUAAUAUAACUGCCUUAAAACUUUAAUCCCACUUGCCCCUGUUACCUAAUUAGAGCAGAUGACCCCUCCCCUAAUGCCUGCGGAGUUGUGCACGUAGUAGGGUCAGGCCACGGCAGCCUACCAGCAAUUUCCGGCCAACAGUUAAAUGAGAACAUGAAAACAGAAAACGGUUAAAACUGUCCCUUUCUGUGUGAAGAUCACGUUCCUUCCCCCGCAGUGUGCCCCCAGACGCACGUGGGUCUUCAGGGGGCCAGGUGCACAGACGUCCCUCCACGUUCACCCCUCCACCCUUGGACUUUCUUUUCGCCGUGGCUGCGGCACCCUUGCGCUUUUGCUGGUCACUGCCAUGGAGGCACACAGCUGCAGAGACAGAGGACGUGGGCGGCAGAGAGGACUGUUGACAUCCAAGCUUCCUUUGUUUUUUUUUCCUGUCCUUCUCUCACCUCCUAAAGUAGACUUCAUUUUUCCUAACAGGAUUAGACAGUCAAGGAGUGGCUUACUACAUGUGGGAGCUUUUGGUAUGUGACAUGUGGGCUGGGCAGCUGUUAGAGUCCAACGUGGGGCAGCACAGAGAGGGGGCCACAUCCCCAGGCCGUGGCUGCCCACACACCCCAAUUAGCUGAAUUCGCGUGUGGCAGAGGGAGGAAAAGGAGGCAAACGUGGGCUGGGCAAUGGCCUCACAUAGGAAACAGGGUCUUCCUGGAGAUUUGGUGAUGGAGAUGUCAAGCAGGUGGCCUCUGGACGUCACCGUUGCCCUGCAUGGUGGCCCCAGAGCAGCCUCUAUGAACAACCUCGUUUCCAAACCACAGCCCACAGCCGGAGAGUCCAGGAAGACUUGCGCACUCAGAGCAGAAGGGUAGGCGUCCUCUAGACAGCCUCGCAGCCGCGCCAGUCGCCCAUAGACACUGGCUGUGACCGGGCGUGCUGGCAGCGGCAGUGCACAGUGGCCAGCACUAACCCUCCCCGAGAAGAUAACCGGCUCAUUCACUUCCUCCCAGAAGACGCGUGGUAGCGAGUAGGCACAGGCGUGCACCUGCUCCCGAAUUACUCACCGAGACACACGGGCUAAGCAGACGGCCCCGUGGAUGGAGACAAAGAGCUCUUCUGACCAUAUCCUUCCUAACACCCGCUGACAUCUCCUUUCGCGCCUCCCUCCCUAACCUACUGACCCACCUUUUGAUUUUAGCGCACCCGUGAUAGGCCUUCCAAAGAGUCCCACGCUGGCAUCGCCCUCCCCGAGGACGGAGAUGAGGAGUAGUCAGCGUGAUGCCAAAACGCGUCUUCUUAAUCCAAUUCUAAUAAUUCUGAAUGUUUCGUGUGGGCUUAAUACCAUGUCUAUUAAUAUAUAGCUUCGAUGAUGAGAGGGUUACAAAGAACAAAACUCCAGACACAAACCUCCAAAUUUUUCAGCAGAAGCACUCUGCGUCGCUGAGCUGAGGUCGGCUCUGCGAUCCAUACGUGGCCGCACCCACACAGCACAUGCUGUGACGAUGGCUGAACGGAAAGUGUACACUGUUCCUGAAUAUUGAAAUAAAACAAUAAACUUUUAAUGGU